Molecule: non-coding RNA, 294 nt
Organism: Vicia faba (fava bean)
Lineage: Eukaryota; Viridiplantae; Streptophyta; Magnoliopsida; Fabales; Fabaceae
Source: the annotation of a GenBank genome assembly
AUGGAUAUGGUCAGAGUGGAGAAAAGCCAAGAAAAGAGUUCUUCAAAAUCAUCGUUAAUGGAGUCUGCAUUUUCACCGUUAAUGACAUCAGCAUCCAAAAACCUAUCAAAAGUAGGUGACGGGGGAAGAAAGGUAAGCAAUGAGAAAGUGGUGGAUGUUUUAGGAUUCUGGAAGGGUUUGCAUGGUGCUAAUAUGGACAUGGUUUGGAAGUUUGUAUUAGCAAAAGAGUGUUUUGAUGAGGAUGAGAAAAUGGGAGAAAGUGAAAGAAAGUUUAUAGUACUCUUCAUAGUGUGA